Molecule: long non-coding RNA, 429 nt
Organism: Helianthus annuus (common sunflower)
Lineage: Eukaryota; Viridiplantae; Streptophyta; Magnoliopsida; Asterales; Asteraceae
Exons: 3
Source: RefSeq, a predicted model, not a curated record
UCGAUCAGGAGACAAGCUCCAUGGGAGCUAACCCUAAACUCAACAAAACCUUCAAAUUGGAGGAUCAAUCGAAGGCCAAAUUCGGAUUUGAAUACAUAGAAACGAUCACCAAGUCAAGGGGAUCGUAAGUUUGACUCUUGACAAGCUAGAUGGAGGCUUGGGGAAAGAAGCGGGUCAAACAGAUCGUAUACGCGGAAAAGAGCAUAACCCGGAUACAAGGUGAAGAUGGACCUAAUCCGGAUGAAGAUCAAGCGGCGAGCAAGAACCGAACACACGUUAAAUGAAGCUUCCGCGUCAAAUCUUGAUUUGUGUUGUUAUAAGUGAAUUAUGUAAACACUUAUAAAUUGUUUUUGAAAUGUUGUAAACAUUUGGGAAUGUUGGUAUAACAAGUUUUUGUAAAGUCACAUUUUAGCAUAAAAAUGUGUAUCU